Patella vulgata (common limpet) is the source of this 1671-nucleotide long non-coding RNA. RefSeq lists it as uncharacterized. The transcript has 6 exons. NCBI's taxonomy places the organism in Eukaryota, Metazoa, Mollusca, Gastropoda, Patellidae. The record is from RefSeq and is a predicted model, not a curated record.
UCAGUGAAAUAAAAGUGUUAUUCCACUGGCUAGUUGUUUUUACCUAAAAUGAUUGUAAAAUCAUAAAAUAAAUAGAACAUUACGCAUUCGUGAAAAUAUAAGUUUUCUUGCUUCUCGAUGAAAUAAAAUAUGUUAUUCACUCUAAAACGACAAAUAUCCUCUAUGUAUGUAAUUUAGCAUCGAUAUUGUUUUUGUGUAUAAUAUUAGUAUUUCGUUUCCUUAAAAAAAACUCCAACAAUUUAACCCGGAAGUUCAUGUUUAAAAUGGCGGGCGGGGACAGGGAAAAAAUUUCGGCAUGUUAUUAUCAAAUCUGUUCAAUUUUUCUGAAAUCGUGCUUAAUUAACAUUAGUUGUUCGGCGCUACGAUGUUGUUCAAAUACGUACAUUACAGAAUCACAUUAUGAUUAAACCAGAAACGGCUCGACUUGAACCAGCAGGUAAGAAUCUGUUUUGAAAUUAUAUCUUGGGAGGUUGGAUUGGAUUGGCGGCCAUUUUGAUUCUUGUUUCAUGAUUUUUUAUAUUAUAAAGAUUUUGCCAAGAGUAGACAUAAACGCGGGCACAGACUAGAAAAAAUCUUUUUACACUUUUGUUCAGUGAUGAUAUGACUCAUUCCACCUUACAGUUACAGCAAUUACCGUAUUGAGAAUUUACCGUUCAAGGACUCCAUUUUGGCAUUGAAUUGGAAUUUGAAGAAAAACUGUUUCAAUAUUGGAUGUAUAUGCAAAUCACCCAGGAAAAGAUCAUGUAACAAAAGAAAUUAUAAAAGUAAAAAAAUGGAAGAAGAAAUGGCUGGAAAAAAUGAUGAUAGAGCAGCUUUUUCUUGUUAGCCACCUCGGAAGAUCAAGACAGCUGGAAAGGGCUAUUGAUAUUGUGGAAGUGUUUUCUUACACAGGUUGCUUAUCAGACAAAGGCUAUUUAACUACAUCAGAAAGAUAAAAACAGUUGGAAAUGGCUAUUCAUAUUGUGGAAACUUUUCUCACAGAGCUUGAUAAUCAGGCAAAAUGCUGGAACACCCUUGAAAGAGUAUUUGAUGUAUGAUAACAACAAGAGAACCCAAGCAUCAAUUUAUUUUAUACUUCUGGGAAAGAAUGCAUUUGACCCAAUUUUUAAAUAUUUAUUUUUUGUUAUUAAUGUUAAAUUUUCUUCCAAAACACAAUUAGAUUUUAAUUCUCUUCAAAUAUGUAUGCAUAAUAUAGCAAGUAAACUGACAUAUAAAUCACUUAGAAUUUGGUCGGAAAUCAUAAAGUAUUUAAUAGGCAUUACUAGAAACCAAAUGUAGAUCAAAUACACCCAGAAUUACAAAAAACCUUGACCUACAUUAAGGUGACUUUCCCUUGCUUAUGAAAUGAAAUACGUUUUAAUAUCCUGCUUUUCUGUGUUCUUAGUGAUUCUACCCUACCCUUAUAUCAAAUAUUUCAACUGUCAAGGGUUCUUUAAAGGGUACCCAGGGGGGCCGAAUGGUUAACACGCACACAUUUGAUCAGAAGGUCUGUCAUUGAUUCAAAUAAUUCAAUUUUCAAGGGUUCUUCAAAGCGUACGCAGUUGGGUUGGUUUCAAUUCUGGGGGGUGGGGGUGGAUGGCCGAAUGGUUAGCACGUGCAUGCUGUAUCAUACGGCCUCCUGUCAUUGAGUCAACUGGCAUGGUUUCGAAUCCCGGGUUGUAGACAAGGAGU